RNAcentral lists this ribosomal RNA (406 nucleotides) under uncultured bacterium. Its description in RNAcentral is "partial 16S ribosomal RNA". It matches the Rfam family "Bacterial small subunit ribosomal RNA", at positions 30 to 526 of the family's 1533-position model. The record is from RNAcentral.
AUUGCACGCUGGCGGCAGGCCUAACACAUGCAAGUCGAACGAGUGGCGGACGGGUGAGUAAUGUCUGGGCAACUGCCUGAUGGAGGGGGAUAACUACUGGACACGGUAGCUAAUACCGCAUACCAUCGGAUGUGCCCAGAUGGGAUUAGCUUGUUGGUGGGGUAACGGCUCACCUAGGCGACGAUCCCUAGCUGGUCUGAGAGGAUGACCAGCCACACUGGAACUGAGAAACGGUCCAGACUCCUACGGGAGGCAGCAGUGGGGAAGAUUGCACAAUGGGCGCAAGCCUGAUGCAGCCAUGCCGCGUGUAUGAAGAAGGCCUUCGGGUUGUAAAGUACUUUCAGCGAGGAGGCGUUACCCGCAGAAGAAGCACCGGCUAACUCCGUGCCAGCAGCCGCGGUAAUAC